Phyllostomus discolor (pale spear-nosed bat) is the source of this 2705-nucleotide RNA transcript. It is a transcript of the gene named WD repeat domain 55, with no coding region annotated. The record is from RefSeq and is a predicted model, not a curated record. The transcript is spliced from 6 exons. NCBI's taxonomy places the organism in Eukaryota, Metazoa, Chordata, Mammalia, Chiroptera, Phyllostomidae.
GCCCCCGAACGGAAGUGGUGCGCUCAGCUACUGACUCCUGCCGGGUCCCUGGGUCUUGGGCUCGCUUCACUGCUGCGCAGCUCGGAUCCUCUCGUGCAUGGAUUGCACGUGUGAGGAGAGGUCCGCGGAGGACAGGAGCGACGAGGAGGACUCCGACUCCCCGGAAGUACCGGCCCGUAUCCGGGACACCCCUGAAGACAUCGUUUUGGAAGCGCCAGCCAGUGGGCUGGCAUUCCACCCGUCCCGUGACCUCCUGGCGGCGGGGGACGUGGACGGGGACGUGUUUGUGUAGGUGCACGGUUUUCCUACUCCUGCCAAGAGGGAGAAACCAAGGAGCUCUGGUCCUCAGGUCACCACCUCAAGUCUUGCCGCGCUGUGGUCUUCUCUGAAGAUGGGCAGAAACUUGUUACUGUAUCCAAGGACAAAGCCAUCCAUGUUCUAGAUGUGGAGCAGGGCCGACUGGAAAGACGUAUUUCCAAGGCGCAUGGUGCCCCAAUCAACAGUCUGCUGCUGGUGGAUGAGAAUGUUCUAGCCACUGGGGAUGACACAGGUGGCAUCCGGCUGUGGGACCAGCGGAAGGACGGCCCCGUAAUGGAUAUGCGGCAGCAUGAGGAGUACAUUGCUGACAUGGCUCUGGACCCAGCCAAGAAGCUGUUGCUGACAGCCAGUGGGGAUGGCUGCCUUGGUGUCUUCAAUAUCAAGCGACGCCGGUUCGAGUUGCUUUCAGAACCUCAGUCUGGAGACCUGACCUCUGUCACAAUCGUGAAAUGUGGGAGGAAGGUGGCCUGUGGCUCCAGUGAAGGUACCAUCUACCUCUUCAACUGGAAUGGCUUUGGGGCCACAAGUGACCGCUUUGCCCUGAGAGCCGAGUCUAUCGACUGCAUGGUUGCAGUCACCGACAGUCUGCUGUGCACUGGGUCCACUGAUGGAGUUAUCAGGUGAGAGGGGCCAGGCCCUCAGGUCACAGGAAGGGUAGGCCCAACCAGCCAAUACCCAACACUCUUUUCCCUCCACCCAGGGCUGUGAACAUCCUGCCGAACCGCGUGGUGGGCACUGUGGGCCAGCACACCGGGGAGCCUGUGGAGAAGCUGGCCCUCUCCCACUGCGGCCGCUUCUUGGCCAGCAGUGGCCAUGACCAAUGCCUCAAGUUUUGGGACACGGCCCAGUCGCAGGCUGUGGUAGUGAAUGACUACCGUCGGCGUAAAAAAAAGGGAGGGCCGCUUCGGGCGCUGAGCAGCAAGGCUUGGAGCACUGAUGACUUCUUUGCAGGACUGAGGGAAGAGGAAAAGGAGGAAGAGGAGAGUGAGGACGACAGUGACUGAGGGAUGAGCUGAAUCUCAAAGACAGGUCCUCAUUGGGCAAGAGUCUUGCUCCCUGGGCUGAAUCCCCAGAGGCUGUGCGGAUGUCAUGCCCUCUUGUGCGGCACAUGGAGAAGGGCAGACGGGCUCGGGACUGUGGGGAAGCAGUGCUGCUCACACCACCAGUGUAAGCCAAGUCCACAGCUGGGGCAAGACGGCACGGACACAGGUGUACACCAACCAGGGGUUUAAUAUAAAUACAACCAGCAUAGAAAAACCAACCAACAAUACACGUACACCAAAACCAAAAUGCCAACUGGUGGGGACAAAUGGCAGAUUUAUGACCCUUUGGCUCAGCCUUCCCCGAAAUAAAAACCAACAAAGACAAAUCAACAAAAUGAGCAAAGAUUCACACUAAGCUGUGGGAGGAGACAGAGUGAGAGAGAGGCUGUGUGUGUCACACAGGCCAAGGAAAACCCUGGGCUGGGAGUGGGAGGGAGGGCAAGGUCCCUCACCACAGCUUAGCCAAACCUGAGCUGUCCCUAGGUGCACUGGGGCUGUGCCCCAGCUGGGAGGCUGUCAGGCUCAGGGCAGGACCCAGGUUCCUCCCCUUCUUUGGGGAUCAGAUGGUGGCUACCCAGGCCUGCUGGGUUGGAGACUGACACAGGCUUUGCCUACUUGUUCAGGCUGCCUGUGGAGACAAUGGGGUUACUACUUAACCAUGGUACCUGCCUCAGCUCCAGCAGGCCACAGGAGGCUGGCCCCAGACUCACUCAGUGUCUCCAGGAGCCGUGCAGACACAGCGUCCUUGGCCACCUCAUGCCCGUCCUGCCCAUCCAUGGUCAGUACAACCCAGAUGAGGCCGCUGAAGGGCACUGGAUGCCCAGGGAUCACCACCUGGUACCAAAAGUGGUGCCAGCCAGCAGGGCCUGUGCCCAAGCACUUGGUGAGGAACACUGGGCUGCCCAACUUCAUCCGCUGGCACAGCAGCUGCAGGGCAGCUCGAGCCCCUUGGGACUCUAGCUUGUCCCUAGCCAGCACCAAUUGGCUACCCUCUGGCUGUAGGCCCCUUGGGGAGGGCCCCACAACCUGCUGCUGGCGGAGUCGCUGCUUCAGGUCUGGCUUGAGCCACUCCACAGCCACCUGCUCUCCACAGAGGCGUGACUGCCCUGCAGGAAAAAGGCAAAGGGAAGACAGUUCUUAGCCCUGGGCUAAGCCCCAGCCUGUUUUAAUCUCCAGCCUCCCAUUUCCAGGUGGUGUGACCUCUGGCAUAUUCAGUGACUUAAGGCUUCAUUGUAUUUGUAAAGAGGGUGUAAUAAUUGCUGCCUUCUAAAUUUUCUUGGAGGUGUACUGGUAAAUGCUAGUUUUACCCACUGCAUAAUCAUAAAAUAGCUCAUCUUUACUGUG